Molecule: long non-coding RNA, 921 nt
Organism: Homo sapiens (human)
Lineage: Eukaryota; Metazoa; Chordata; Mammalia; Primates; Hominidae
Source: Ensembl
GUAGACCCAGCGUACGUACAACGCUCACACCACCACGCCGUACGCUGCGUUAGCGGAAGUUUAAUGGCCCCAUUGGUGGGAUGCGUGGCCAAUAAAGGGCAAGAAUAAGGCGGAUUCCGCCUUCCUCGUGGCUGACUGGAUGCAUCCGCUGGUACUGAUUUACGAAGAGAAUGAUCAUGAAGGGCAAAUGGCAGUGAAGCAAGAAGAGCUGGCUUCAGGCUCAGAAGAGAAUGCUGUGCCUCUUCCUCAUGGUUUCAGCUGACAUCACUCUCUCAAAAGAAUCGCUGGCACAGGAAUCUUCAUCUCAAGUUCUGCUUCUUGAGAACAUAGCCUGAAACAAGCGUAUGAUUUUAAAACAAUCAUGCAAAGAGGACAAGGAUUGAAAAGAUCAAUAAUGAAGAUAAAAGCAACAACAACAAAAUGGCAGAACUAGUUCUUUUCCUACUUCUGGUAUAAUUUCUUCUUAGCCAAAAUAUGUGAUAAAAAUGACAGUUUAAUAAAACCUAACAAGAUGUCAGUUAAAAGAGAACUACAAAGAGGACUAUUUGAAAAAAAAAUUCUAUCCACUUUCUUUUUUUUUUUUUUUCGAAAUGGAGUCUUGCUCUGUCACCCGGCCUGGGCAACAGAGUGAGACCUUGUCUCAAGAAAAUUUUUAAAAAGGCAGUAUCUUCUGAUAUUAAGGAAGAUGGGUAUUUCUAGUGGAAUUUCAAUAAAAAUUUUUCUAUAAAUAGGGUAUAGGACUAAAAAAUGAGUAUCCUGAUUUUUUACUACUUCUUUGAAUCUUGGCAUCUUUUUCAAUUAUGUUUCUCAUCUAUGAUAGAUAUUAAAACCAAUAAUUAAGAUAAAUUGAAUGUAAACCCAUACCUCCUCAGCAGAUCUGUAGAACUUAUGUAAAAAAAUAAAAAUACAAAAUAAAUAAAA